AUGAAAGAAGUUCUUGUCUUGCAUCUUUCCCUGCUUCACGUUUUAAUCCAGAGGAUUCAAGCUGACAUCUUGAAGUGUCUCCCCAGAAGCAUCUGGGGGAUCGCUUUGUACGUGGAGACACCUCCCUCAAAGCUAACAGUUGAAAUACAUUACUACAAGUGGCACAUAGCAUAUUAUAUCCAAUUAGCAACCAUUCACGCCCAAAAAAAAAAAAAAAAAAAAACUCUAAAUUUUGUUGCUCUCUGAUGGCAAAUACAUAUUAUUAUAUUGUUGCAUAUAACAAGCGAAGCAAUCAGCAAGCGUGUUCAUGCAUAAGUAUCUACAUUUGUCAGCACAUCCCAGAACGAAAAUCCAAUCUGCAGAUCACCCUAGUAAAUGAACAGAGUUCACGUUAUAGCACUCUCUCAUCUGAUCAUUUGUUCAGAUUUUUCUUACUCUUUAGCAAACAAAGGGAAAGGGCAAUGCAACUCAGCAACAUAUUUCAAAUUUUGAAAUGGCAACAAAACCAAUACUUAUCAGUUUAUGGAAAGGCUAGAAAUUUAUAAGAUUGUGCUAUCCAAGAACACUAAUCAACAGAUAUUACUAAAAAUUCCCGAUAAGACCACGUCUACUUAAUUGGAAGCACAGUCAGACUUCGCAUGCCUGAUUCAUUAUUACUUAUUGAUUUAAAAAAUAUAUAUAUGUUAAAAGGUGAUGCCUCAGAAUCCAGAAAAAACUCCGAGAAACCCUAAGUUAGAAAACAUAACAUUGAUGCUAUUCCAGUAAAAAUGUCGACAAUCAGUAAACUAAAAUUUGACGCUUGCAAACACCAAAUCCAUCCACAUCUACAGCUAUUAAAACCGAAUGAAUUUGUAGUUUCACACUCACAUGAUCAAACAAAGCUAGCAUCACCAUGUCCUUCAAAAUCAAAUGCAGUAACAUCCUACACAACCUAGGAUCAGUAAAACAUAUUUCAAAUACACCAAUAUUACAUUGGCAUUAAAAUAUUAUUUUUAUGCCACAUAUGGAGGUUAUUUAUCACUUCUGUGUUUAAGCAACAAAUCCUAUCCCUCGUUUCCUCAUAUGUUGAACUUUACUUCAAUUGCGCUUGAGCUAAACAAAAGAUCCAAUAUUCAGCUAAAAAAUAGAUAAAAUCACUCAAAAGAAAUCAAAUUCCAGACCUUUGCAAUCAAGAAGGAGCAAGAUUUUGGUGAAAUCAGACUUAAAAAUUUAACCUUUGUUUAGAAUUCGUGUGGCGAGUGGGCCCCACAUGAGGAAGGAUCGGCUGGAAAUUGGACGUCGACUGAUGAGCAGCGGUGAAAUUCUCCGGCCAAAUCGAUGUUGACCUCAUAAUUAAUUCCAAUUCACUAUUUAAAUUUAAAUUCUCAAAAAGAAAGUCCUUUAGUCAGGAAAUAUGUUUCCGGCACUUCUGAAUUUCUAAAAGCUGGGAACUUUGGGUUUUACAUCGAUUUGGCUGAAUUGUUCAUGAAUUUCCCAUGGAUUCUUGCCAAUUUAUAAAGACAGUGUUGAUCUGAGCGAAAUGGCCCGGAGAAAGGCGGAGAAGGGGGGCUGACAAACGAGGAGAUUAUGGCAUUUUCCGGCGAUGGGCGGUGAUAUUUUUUGAUAUUACGAUGGCGUUUAAUUUGACAGAAAUGUCGUCAUAUUUGACGGGAUGAAGCCCAGUCGUUUAAAAGGAGCGUGCAAUCCACGCCUUUGGUUACGUGGAUGAAUGUGUUCCCUGGAAUAAUCUAGCAUAUGGUAG
Molecule: long non-coding RNA, 1741 nt
Filed under: Olea europaea (common olive)
Lineage: Eukaryota; Viridiplantae; Streptophyta; Magnoliopsida; Lamiales; Oleaceae
Description: long non-coding RNA (OEUR_LNC009710)
Source: RNAcentral